GAUGAAGAACGUAGCGAAAUGCGAUAAGUAAUGCGAAUUGCAGAAUUCAGUGAAUCAUCGAAUCUUUGAACGCACGUUGCGCCCGCUAGUAUUCUGGCGGGCAUGCCUGUCUGAGCGUCAUUUCAACCCUCGCCCCCGGCUUUUGCUGGGAGCGGUGUUGGGGAUCGGCCGCCCGUCACUGGGAGGCCGGCCCCGAAAUAGAGUGGCGACCACGCCGUGUGCUCCUCUGCGUAGUAGUAAAUCACCUCGCAGGCGGACAGCGGUGCGGCCUGCCGUAAAACCCCCAACUCUUUCUGGUUGACCUCAGAUCAGGUAGGAAUACCCGCUGAACUUAAGCAUAUCAAUAAGCGGAGGA
This 355-nucleotide unclassified non-coding RNA is filed under the name soil metagenome. Its description in RNAcentral is "partial contains 5.8S ribosomal RNA, internal transcribed spacer 2, and large subunit ribosomal RNA". The stretch from base 1 to 120 matches the Rfam family "5.8S ribosomal RNA", at positions 35 to 154 of the family's 154-position model. The record is from RNAcentral.